ACGCCCUGUCCUGAGGUGUUCCCAUGGCAACGCCUCCGGUUCCCCGUCUGGCCUUGCGUAGCCCCCCUCCACCUAGGCCCCUUGGCGCCCCCACCGUGAAUCCCGCUCCCCUCGGCCCCGCUGCCGUCCCGCGGGCGGGUAACUGCCCCCGGGGGCGAAGGGGAGUGUGGGGGGGUCAGAUAGAGUCCCGCUCCCGGUCCCGCGAGAACGGCCGGUUCGUUGGGUGUUUAAUGAACGGUUGGACACAGCCAAUGAGAUGGCUCAAGAUGCGGCGGCCGCUUAGAUUCUAGGCGCGCUAGAGCCAUGUACAGCGCCGAGCACCGGGGGGGGGGCAGGUCUGUGACUGCCCCGCCUGGGUGCUACCCUCUUACACAGGCCUAUGGCGCAGUGAAUAAUAGCGACUCAUUACGAAAUGUUAAGCACAAAAAAAGACGAAUCAUGGGGGGGGGGAAGAGGUAUUGGGCAGAGCUGUGCCCGCAUUCGGUUUACAUUGGGAUUGUGGGGGGGGGUCAGAGCUUGGGGCAGCGCCUUAUAGCUUGGUUGUGUUCAUGUUGUGCUCCCCUUGUCCCAUCCAUGCAGGUAGUGACCGGGCGGACAGCGAAGAAAGGCGCUAGAGAGCUUGAGGGUCAGCAAGAGGAGAGACAGACGGCCAAGUGCAACGCAAGCGAGAUGAUGCAUGGAGGGAAAAAUGCUGGGGGAGACGCCACACACAGGAGAAGGUCCCAGUAUAACACACCCUUACAGCGAGAAGAACAGGCGUACUUGUGGCACCGAUACAGACUAACACGGCUGCUACUCUGAAACCUUACAGCGAGGCCUUAUGGUAGUUGGAGCUGGUCCCAAGCCGGUUUUCACUGACCAGAUAGCAAAAGCACGGGUCUGACCACCACCACUCAAGUGUUAACACUGCAAGGACCUUUGUCUGAAUGUGUAUAAAGGAUCUGUAAAAUGUGUGUAAGACAGUUUUUGUACUAAGGUGCAAAGCUCUCCUUUCUUCUGCAGAAUAAAGCAACUCUUCCUUA
Molecule: long non-coding RNA, 1022 nt
Organism: Malaclemys terrapin pileata
Lineage: Eukaryota; Metazoa; Chordata; Testudines; Emydidae
Exons: 3
Source: RefSeq, a predicted model, not a curated record